This 207-nucleotide long non-coding RNA is filed under the name Hordeum vulgare. RNAcentral describes it as "long non-coding RNA (HVUL_LNC019810)". Lineage: Eukaryota; Viridiplantae; Streptophyta; Magnoliopsida; Poales; Poaceae. The record is from RNAcentral.
CCCGGCAUUUCUCGUGUGAGGAAAAAUAGAAAUACAAAAACAAAAGUCGAAAGAAUUCAAAUGCCAACUUUAUUUCAAUCAAUAUGCAUAUAUGCUUAGCUACAAUGUAAAACAUUCCCAAUUAGGAAAAUUAGGAUGUUACACACGGGAAAGCUCCCAACAAGCAAAAGAGGAAAGGAAAAUCUUUUAGGGUUUUCUCAAAAGGAC